AAAGUACUCCCUCCGUCCCAAAAUUCUUGUCUUAGAUUUUUCAAGAUACGAAUGUAUCAAGUCACAUUUUAGUAUUAGAAACAUCCGUAUCUAGACAAAUCUAAGACAAGAAAUUUGGGACAGAGGGAGUAGUUG
Molecule: non-coding RNA, 135 nt
Organism: Triticum aestivum (bread wheat)
Lineage: Eukaryota; Viridiplantae; Streptophyta; Magnoliopsida; Poales; Poaceae
Source: Rfam